UCUCUUUUCUUAGAGAGCCUAUAUAUAGAUUUUUUUUCCUCCAUGGUUCUUAAAAGUUGAUAUAAUCUGCCAAAAAAUUGGACUCUCACUUCACUCUCCCCGUUAGGUAUCAUUCUUAAUUUUCUUAUACUUUUUUCAAAUUUCAGCAUUUUUACACCUAAAUCAUUCUUUAUAACAAUCAUCUUUUACUCUAACUUUACUCGAAACACUUUAAUUCCACUACCACUAUUCU
RNAcentral lists this long non-coding RNA (232 nucleotides) under Lathyrus oleraceus (garden pea). RNAcentral describes it as "Pisum sativum (pea) long non-coding RNA (PSAT_LNC027537)". The record is from RNAcentral. Lineage: Eukaryota; Viridiplantae; Streptophyta; Magnoliopsida; Fabales; Fabaceae.